UGUCGGAUUAGCUAGUUGGCGGGGUAAAGGCCCACCAAGGCGACGAUCCGUAGCUGGUCUGAGAGGAUGAUCAGCCACACUGGAACUGAGACACGGUCCAGACUCCUACGGGAGGCAGCAGUGGGGAAUAUUGGACAAUGGGCGCAAGCCUGAUCCAGCCAUACCGCGUGGGUGAAGAAGGCCUUCGGGUUGUAAAGCCCUUUUGUUGGGAAAGAAAAGCAGUCGAUUAAUACUCGGUUGUUCUGACGGUACCCAAAGAAUAAGCACCGGCUAACUUCGUGCCAGCAGCCGCGGUAAUACGAAGGGUGCAAGCGUUACUCGGAAUUACUGGGCGUAAAGCGUGCGUAGGUGGUUGUUUAAGUCUGUUGUGAAAGCCCUGGGCUCAACCUGGGAAUUGCAGUGGAUACUGGGCGACUAGAGUGUGGUAGAGGGUAGUGGAA
Molecule: ribosomal RNA, 440 nt
Filed under: Stenotrophomonas sp.
Lineage: Bacteria; Pseudomonadati; Pseudomonadota; Gammaproteobacteria; Lysobacterales; Lysobacteraceae
Description: bacterial SSU rRNA
Rfam family: Bacterial small subunit ribosomal RNA
Source: RNAcentral